This 465-nucleotide ribosomal RNA is filed under the name uncultured bacterium. RNAcentral describes it as "partial 16S ribosomal RNA". It matches the Rfam family "Bacterial small subunit ribosomal RNA", at positions 28 to 507 of the family's 1533-position model. The record is from RNAcentral.
GACGAACGCUGGCGGCGUGCUUAACACAUGCAAGUCGAACGGAAAGGCCCCAGCUUGCUGGGGUACUCGAGUGGCGAACGGGUGAGUAACACGUGGGUGAUCUGCCCUGCACUCUGGGAUAAGCCUGGGAAACUGGGUCUAAUACCGGAUAGGACCGUGCUUUAGUGUGUGCGGUGGAAAGUUUUUUGGUGCAGGAUGAGCCCGCGGCCUAUCAGCUUGUUGGUGGGGUAAUGGCCUACCAAGGCGGCGACGGGUAGCCGGCCUGAGAGGGUGUACGGCCACAUUGGGACUGAGACACGGCCCAGACUCCUACGGGAGGCAGCAGUGGGGAAUAUUGCACAAUGGGCGCAAGCCUGAUGCAGCGACGCCGCGUGGGGGAUGACGGCCUUCGGGUUGUAAACCCCUUUCGGCAGGGACGAAGCUUUUGUGACGGUACCUGCAUAAGAAGCACCGGCUAACUACGUG